Molecule: long non-coding RNA, 1768 nt
Filed under: Podarcis lilfordi (Lilford's wall lizard)
Lineage: Eukaryota; Metazoa; Chordata; Lepidosauria; Squamata; Lacertidae
Source: RNAcentral
CACAUAGCUAGAACAGCUUUUACAACUUUUUUUCAGCCAGUGAUGUUGAACUAUAUACUAUUGAUGCCAGGACUUGACCCUGAUCUGGAAUCUUCCUAGGUUAUCCUGCCAUGCCCCAGUUUUAAUGCCAGUAACUAGAUAGUAAGAUGAUCAAACCAACUAUGGAUGGGCAAUCCUAACUAGGACCAAGAAGGACUGGGGCAGUGGAGCUGUUGCUGCAUUGAAAGCCCUAAAGACUCUUGCUAGUCUUUGUUUUUUUGCUGUGCUAGCUCCAGGGCUGGCACAGCUGAGGAACCCAAAGUUCUGGUCCCUUGUGGGAACUGCAGACCUUUGGAUUCUGUAGGUCCUCCAGUGCUCUACCCCAACUCUGUUGGUAGUGGCCUCCUGCCAACCUGAGCAUAGCAGACGCCUCAGCUGCAGCACCAGCACCCCAGCAGCACUCCUCUCCUUUGGCAGAGAGGUUUGAGAGAAAUGAUUUCUGUUUAAAUCCAAGUCUGUGUCUAUGAAAGAAACAAUAUCCUUUGGAGGGUAUUAAUGCUGUGAACCUUUCCAUCACAGGCUCAGGUUGUAUAUAUGUGUAAAUAAGCCAUAUAUCACAAAGACGCCACAGCCUCCGCUGUGCCUCAUUCCAAAGGAAAACGUGAACCCUGGGUAAGAGCCUAGAACCCCUGGAAUCUUGCACCACUUGGAUAUUGGCCUGGCAUGCAAUAGUAUGUGAAUAACGCUAAUCACAUAUGUUUUUUUGUUUUCAAUGAUGCUGGUGUUUUGAAAUGACACUGGUUAGCAUUUAAGCAGCAAUGGGAGGGACAAAGGGCUGCAAGGGAGAAGCUUUGUCUGCUAACUUUGUCCGUAGUUUUCCAUAUGCUAAUACAGAAUCUAUUCCACAAUGCAAACAUUAAAAAACUGUUAUUAUUCAAGCUUAUAUCCACCCUUCCUCCACUGAGUUCAGAACUCAGGGUGGAAUACAUGGAUUCUGACUUACUUCUGUGCAGUGCUUUUUUCUGGGGAGAUGCAGGGGUACUCGUACCCCUAAACAUUUUGUGAAUCUUUGCACUUUUGUCCAUUUACUGUAUUUAUUUUCCCCGAUUUGAGCUAUAAAAUGGUGGUUUUCUUGAGUCAAAAUGAGAGUACCCCUAAACAUUUUUUAAUAGAAAAAAAGCACUGCUUCUGUGUAUCCUCACACAACAACUGUGUAAAAUAGAUUAAGGGUGUGUGUGUGUGUGAGAGAGAGAGAGAGAGAGAGAGAGAGAAAGAAAGAAAGCUGACUUUGUAAGGAAUUGCACUUUGGAAACUUCUCACUGUAACUGUCCUUUGAGAGUACAACUGAGUUCACUGUCCUGAAUUGGCUUCCAUAUAUAUAUAUAUAUAUAUAUAUAAUCAUUUUAUUAGAAUCAUUGAGUUGGAAGAUACCUUGGAGGUCCUCUGUGUAGGAUCUGAAAUACAAGACACACAAUCCUGGCAUCCGCUCAACAACCUCCAGCAAAGGAGAGCCCACCACUUACUGAGGCAGUUUUCAAGCACUUUUCAGGGGGAAAGCCCCACACAGAAUGUGAUUGAGUAGUUCCAACCUGGAUUAACCUGAUAACAUGAAAGACUGUGACCAGUUCAGAUAAUCUGUGGGCAGGAUUUCAUUCAUCUGUUUUAUUGUUCAGGGGGAGAUGGCGAGUUACGAAACCAACCAACAGAAAAUGCCAAGCACGCAAGUUAAAACCAGGCCAGUCUCACUUUGCUCUGCCAUCAUGUGGCAUAUGAAGGGUAUGAAGAGGGG